ACCCUCGUUGGUUAGCUCCCUAACCUCCCUAGGUUGGCUCCACUUUUCCUAUUAUUCCCGGCUAAUAAACCCUGCUCCUU
Phyllostomus discolor (pale spear-nosed bat) is the source of this 80-nucleotide long non-coding RNA. RefSeq lists it as uncharacterized. The transcript has 3 exons. Lineage: Eukaryota; Metazoa; Chordata; Mammalia; Chiroptera; Phyllostomidae. The record is from RefSeq and is a predicted model, not a curated record.